RNAcentral lists this microRNA precursor (78 nucleotides) under Schistosoma mattheei. RNAcentral's name for it is "mir-3492 microRNA precursor family". It matches the Rfam family "mir-3492 microRNA precursor family". Lineage: Eukaryota; Metazoa; Platyhelminthes; Trematoda; Strigeidida; Schistosomatidae. The record is from Rfam by way of RNAcentral.
AACUUUGUGAAUCCGUGCACAGAUUUCAUCACACACCAACUCGUUAGGGCUGAACAGACUUCCAGGAUAAGUGAAGUU